GAUGGCUUAGACCUAUGGACUCCUUC
This 26-nucleotide non-coding RNA is filed under the name Rattus norvegicus (Norway rat). The record is from RNAcentral. Lineage: Eukaryota; Metazoa; Chordata; Mammalia; Rodentia; Muridae.